UUAGCUUACAUAUUUUAUUGCUCAUGUUUCAAUUUGUCUCACAUUCUUGGCCUUCACUCUUUUAAGUGCGAGCUUAAUAAUUUGAGGAAAACACAAUGUCUCUUUCUUUUUGCAUUAUCUGUUGGUAAGUUUAUCCAUCUUUGUUUAAUUGUUCUAUUUGAAUGUGGUGCGACCUCUCUGGUUCGAUGAGUUAUUUGUGCAAUUUUUCUUUGUUUAUUCCAUAAUUUGGUGAUUAUAUGUUAGUGUUCUAUAGUAUUGUUUUGAGUUGCUUGAAUUUUUACAUGCAUGUCAGUAAUUGCACCUAAUCUGCUCAUGUAUUAUGAAAUUUGUCUUUGUUACCAACUAACUAGUCCACAAUUAAGUUGCUUUUACUAAAAAUUUAAGGUAUCAAAAGUGUUGCUGCAAGAUUGGCUCUCAGACAAUUAAUUGUUUCUUGUCCUUUUGGCUUCAUGUUUGCUCUGUUACUGAAAGUAACUUUCAUUCCUCUCCUCUUUGUAUCCUUUUUUUCUUUCACAGUUUUCUCUGCUUGGGUUAUGAGCUUUCCUUCUUCUCUCGAAUAAUUUCUGCUGAGUUCUUUUUUCAAACUUCCGAUGUUUCUGUUUAGUUUCUUUAGUUACUUUAACUAUUACAGUUUUCUAUUUUAUAUUGUAUAUGCAAAGUUGAUUAUUUAAAACUAAGAAAUAGGGAGAUGAAAUCAUGUUGUUCUCUAUUCCAUUCUACUCGCUACCAAGUCAUACAACAAAGUAUUCGUGGUGAUCUUCAUUGGGAUUCAACUGAGGCAGUCUGUCAUAAGAUCCAUUCUGGUGCAUCAUUAAAGGAAGGGGUGAGCCAUCAAGAAGAGCUUUAAUUGCAUGUGAUAUAGUGUGUAUGCCUUUCUCAGCAAGUGGGUUAAAUGUACUGGACAUUCAUAUAUUGAACAAAUUUGCACCGUGUAAACUACUAUGGGUUGUUAGUGCAAAGAAGGAUAUCCUUCGGAUACAAUGGAUACAUAACUAUUACAUCAAAGGGCAAGAUAGCAUGAGGAUAGAUACUCCUAAACAAGCAUGCUGGCUUGUUAGGAAGAUUUUUGAUAUCAGAUAUUGGUUUCUGGAAAAGUAUACAAGUGCUCAGUUACACAGGUGUUGA
Molecule: long non-coding RNA, 1125 nt
Organism: Nicotiana tabacum (common tobacco)
Lineage: Eukaryota; Viridiplantae; Streptophyta; Magnoliopsida; Solanales; Solanaceae
Source: RefSeq, a predicted model, not a curated record